UGAUCCUGGCUCAGGAUGAACGCUAGCGGCAGGCUUAACACAUGCAAGUCGAGGGGUAACAGGGAGCUUGCUCCGCUGACGACCGGCGCACGGGUGCGUAACGCGUAUAGAACCUACCUUUUACAGAGGAAUAGCCUUUAGAAAUGAAGAUUAAUGCCUCAUGGUAUUGAGACUCGGCAUCGAGACUUAAUUAAAGAUUUAUCGGUAAAAGAUGGCUAUGCGUCCUAUUAGUUAGUUGGUGAGGUAACGGCUUACCAAGACAGCGAUAGGUAGGGGCCCUGAGAGGGGGAUCCCCCACACUGGUACUGAGACACGGACCAGACUCCUACGGGAGGCAGCAGUGAGGAAUAUUGGGCAAUGGAGGAGACUCUGACCCAGCCAUGCCGCGUGCAGGAAGACGGCCCUAUGGGUUGUAAACUGCUUUUAUACAGGAAGAAACACUAGUACGUGUACUAGCUUGACGGUACUGUAAGAAUAAGGACCGGCUAACUCCGUGCCAGCAGCCGCGGUAAUACGGAGGGUCCGAGCGUUAUCCGGAAUCAUUGGGUUUAAAGGGUCCGCAGGCGGUCAAUUAAGUCAGAGGUGAAAUACCAUAGCUCAACUAUGGAACUGCCUUUGAUACUGGUUGACUUGAGUCAUAUGGAAGUAGAUAGAAUGUGUAGUGUAGCGGUGAAAUGCAUAGAUAUUACACGGAAUACCGAUUGCGAAGGCAGUCUACUACGUAUAUACUGACGCUAAUGGACGAAAGCGUGGGGAGCAAACGGGAUUAGAUACCCCGGUAGUCCACGCCGUAAACGAUGUCAACUAGCCGUUGGGGGUCUUAGACCUUUAGUGGCGCAGCUAACGCGAUAAGUAUUCCGCCUGGGGAGUACGGCCGCAAGGUUAAAACUCAAAGGAAUUGACGGGGGCCCGCACAAGCGGUGGAGCAUGUGGUUUAAUUCGAUGCAACGCGAAGAACCUUACCAGCUCUUGACAUCCUGCGAACUUUCUAGAGAUAGAUUGGUGCCUUCGGGAACCAGGUGACAGGUGCUGCAUGGCUGUCGUCAGCUCGUGUCGUGAGAUGUUGGGUUAAGUCCCGUAACGAGCGCAACCCUUAUCUUUAGUUGCCAGCAUUUAGUUGGGCACUCUAGAGAAACUGCCGGUGACAAGCCGGAGGAAGGCGGGGAUGACGUCAAGUCCUCAUGGCCCUUAUGGGCUGGGCUACACACGUGCUACAAUGGCGGUGACAGUGGGACAAUCCCCAAAAGCCGUCUCAGUUCGGAUUGCACUCUGCAACUCGAGUGCAUGAAGUUGGAAUCGCUAGUAAUCGUGGAUCAGCAUGCCACGGUGAAUACGUUCCCGGGCCUUGUACACACCGCCCGUCACACCAUGGGAGUUGGCUUUACCCGAAGGUGGUGCGCUAACCGCAAGGAAGCAGCCAGCCACGGUAAGGUCAGCGACUGGGGUGAAGUCGUAACAAGGUAACC
RNAcentral lists this ribosomal RNA (1466 nucleotides) under uncultured prokaryote. RNAcentral's name for it is "partial 16S ribosomal RNA". It matches the Rfam family "Bacterial small subunit ribosomal RNA". The record is from RNAcentral.